GACGAACGCUGGCGGCGCGCCUAACACAUGCAAGUCGAACGAGCGAGCGAGAGCUUGCUUUCUCAAGCGAGUGGCGAACGGGUGAGUAACGCGUGAGGAACCUGCCUCAAAGAGGGGGACAACAGUUGGAAACGACUGCUAAUACCGCAUAAGCCCACGACCCGGCAUCGGGUAGAGGGAAAAGGAGCAAUCCGCUUUGAGAUGGCCUCGCGUCCGAUUAGCUAGUUGGUGAGGUAACGGCCCACCAAGGCGACGAUCGGUAGCCGGACUGAGAGGUUGAACGGCCACAUUGGGACUGCGACACGGCCCAGACUCCUACGGGAGGCAGCAGUGUGGAAUAUUGCACAAUGGGGGAAACCCUGAUGCAGCGACGCCGGGUGGAGGAAGAAGGUCUUCGGAUUGUAAACUCCUGUUGUUGAGGAAGAUAAUGACGGUACUCAACAAGGAAGUGACGGCUAACUACGUG
Molecule: ribosomal RNA, 466 nt
Filed under: uncultured bacterium
Lineage: Bacteria
Description: partial 16S ribosomal RNA
Rfam family: Bacterial small subunit ribosomal RNA
Source: RNAcentral